AAAAAAAAAAAAGUAUAGAAAUCACCACUCUCUCAUAAUUCUUUCUCAGUAGAGACCAGCGUGGGUUUAGGGCUCCGCUCCUGCCUUCAGCGGAACCUCCUCUCAUCCCACACGUAUCGCUUUCCUGCUGGCACCUUGCGGAAAAACAGGCUGUUCCCUCGGCUCAUGUUGCCUUCCUUGUGCAGCUGGCUCCAGCAGUCCAGCCAGGAGGAGUAGGUGGGUGCGUAGGGGAGCAGGCCCCCAGCCAGCCCGCAGUUAUUGACAGCCAUCAGGUUGGAGACCAGCACAAAGGGGUAUGUCAGCAUGCUGGCGAAGAACCCGGUGACUGCCUGCGAGUAGCUCUUCAUCUCUGUCAUAGAGACCCCGUUCUCCAGUGCAUAUGUGUUGAUGAGGUAGGCCAGCAUGUUGCAGAGCCAGAGUGAGAGGAUGUCUCCGAGGAGCCGGGGAACAAGGCCGGCGAAGAACCCCAGGAUGCCUUCUUCUCGGUAAAUCGUGGCGAAGGCGCUUAGUGUUCCGCUGUACUUGGUCUCCCUGCCGAUGAACUGCACCAUGCAUCGCAGGGUGAUGACGUGGAAGGGGUGGGUGAUGAGGGUGGCAGCAGAGCGAGCGACCAUCUCUCGGGAAGUCUCCUUCAGCACCUGCUCCAGUGAGGACACGGGCUCCUUCUUGCUGGCUCCCGGCUCAGCCUUCUCGGCCUCCUGGUACCGCUGCAGCACUUUGCCGUGCACCACGGUGCCAAUGGCGCUGGAGCAGAGACGGGGGGCGAGGCCCUUGAAAAGCCCCGCUCUGCCAUCCACUUUCACGAUAUGCUUGGCGUAGGCGAAGAGGCCUGGAAGCUGGUAGACCUGGCGGCCGAAGAUGUUCCUGCCCAGGGUGGGCGGCAGCGGUUCGUACCCCACCUGCACCAGCACCUUCACGUACAUGAGAGGCUGCGAGAGCACGGUCAGCCCCGAGCCCAGAAGCACCUGCGAAGCCUCGUCCGCCAUGCUGCCGCCCCGGCGCCACG
RNAcentral lists this long non-coding RNA (1006 nucleotides) under Gallus gallus (chicken). Lineage: Eukaryota; Metazoa; Chordata; Aves; Galliformes; Phasianidae. The record is from RNAcentral.